CUUUUCUAUCUUUUGCCCAUAGCCCUUGGCAUCCUUCCAGGACUCCCUUUCUAUAGCUCAUUAACAUCAGUCCUCUCUCCUUCUUUUCCUUACGAGAUAUUUCCAUGCUGAAGAUAGCUCUACUGAUUGCCUCUCAUUUAUUACUUCCCCUCUUCUACUCCCUUCCAAGAUUUUCAUCCCUUCUACUACUGGGAGCUCUUUCACAUCAUCUACUUUUUUUAUUACCUUCGCUUCUUCCCAGUUUACUUCCACAUUAUACUCGUACACCCUUCUUGCAAGGGCCGUUGUCAGUCUACCUUUCUUUAUAUCUUCUUCAUGCUCUCU
This 324-nucleotide long non-coding RNA is filed under the name Androctonus crassicauda. The record is from RNAcentral. Lineage: Eukaryota; Metazoa; Arthropoda; Arachnida; Scorpiones; Buthidae.